Molecule: ribosomal RNA, 482 nt
Filed under: uncultured bacterium
Lineage: Bacteria
Description: bacterial SSU rRNA
Rfam family: Bacterial small subunit ribosomal RNA
Source: RNAcentral
AUUGAACGCUGGCGGAAUGCUUUACACAUGCAAGUCGAACGGUAGAGGGGGCAACCCCUCGAGAGUGGCGAACGGGUGAGUAAUAUAUCGGAACGUGCCCAGUCGUGGGGGAUAACGUAGCGAAAGUUACGCUAAUACCGCAUACGAUCUAUGGAUGAAAGCGGGGGACUCGCAAGAGCCUCGCGCGAUUGGAGCGGCCGAUAUCAGAUUAGGUAGUUGGUGGGGUAAAGGCUCACCAAGCCAACGAUCUGUAGCUGGUCUGAGAGGACGACCAGCCACACUGGAACUGAGACACGGUCCAGACUCCUACGGGAGGCAGCAGUGGGGAAUUUUGGACAAUGGACGCAAGUCUGAUCCAGCCAUUCCGCGUGCAGGAUGAAGGCCCUCGGGUUGUAAACUGCUUUUGUACGGAACGAAAAGGUUUCUAUUAAUACUAGGAGCUCAUGACGGUACCGUAAGAAUAAGCACCGGCUAACUACGUG